GCCAUCAAUUAAGGGUAUCUUUCACUCUAUUUCCUUGCUAAAUUGUCAAAAUCACCUUUGUUUUAGAUGAAAUGCAUUACAUUGAUAAACAAGCUUGGUGCCUUUGAUUUGUGUGUUAUUGUGCAGGAAGAAGGCAUGAAAUAAUUGAAAUUUAAGACACAAGAAAGUUGGCAAAGGAACCAAAGAAAAACAAGCAUUCAUCAUCAUGCUCGCUAGGCGAAUGCUGUGGCGAAGCCUGCUCGCUAGGCGAGCGCCCAGCGAAAAGCUCCAGUAAAAUGUGAAUAAAUUCGCCAGGCGAGCUGAUAGCGAAGGUGGUAGCGAGUUCGUUCAGUUUUGGUGAAAAGCGCAGCCAGCACUCUAAACCUUGUUUCUAGGCGAAGCUCUAGCGAGUCCCCAGCGAGCAUUCCAGUAGCAAAACCUCUCAACCUCGCUGGGGUGAAGGUUGAAGUGUGUCCUUCGCUAGACGAAGGUUUGUUCGCUAGGCGAAC
Molecule: long non-coding RNA, 488 nt
Filed under: Lathyrus oleraceus (garden pea)
Lineage: Eukaryota; Viridiplantae; Streptophyta; Magnoliopsida; Fabales; Fabaceae
Description: Pisum sativum (pea) long non-coding RNA (PSAT_LNC023123)
Source: RNAcentral